Molecule: transfer RNA, 87 nt
Filed under: Candidatus Falkowiibacteriota bacterium
Lineage: Bacteria; Candidatus Falkowiibacteriota
Description: tRNA-Leu
Rfam family: tRNA
About the family: Transfer RNA (tRNA) molecules are approximately 80 nucleotides in length. Their secondary structure includes four short double-helical elements and three loops (D, anti-codon, and T loops).
Source: RNAcentral
GCCGAAGUGGCGGAAUUGGUAGACGCGCACGACUCAAAAUCGUGUGAGGGCAACUUCAUGAGGGUUCGAUUCCCUCCUUCGGCACCA